AACGAACGCUGGCGGCAUGCCUAACACAUGCAAGUCGAACGAGACCUUCGGGUCUAGUGGCGCACGGGUGCGUAACGCGUGGGAACCUGCCCCUAGGUUCGGAAUAACUCCCCGAAAGGGGUGCUAAUACCGGAUAAUGUCUUCGGACCAAAGAUUUAUCGCCUUUGGAUGGGCCCGCGUUGGAUUAGCUAGUUGGUAGGGUAAAAGCCUACCAAGGCGACGAUCCAUAGCUGGUCUGAGAGGAUGAUCAGCCACACUGGGACUGAGACACGGCCCAGACUCCUACGGGAGGCAGCAGUGGGGAAUAUUGGACAAUGGGGGAAAGCCUGAUCCAGCAAUGCCGCGUGAGUGAUGAAGGCCUUAGGGUUGUAAAGCUCUUUUACCCGGGAUGAUAAUGACAGUACCGGGAGAAUAAGCUCCGGCUAACUCCGUG
This 433-nucleotide ribosomal RNA is filed under the name uncultured bacterium. Its description in RNAcentral is "partial 16S ribosomal RNA". It matches the Rfam family "Bacterial small subunit ribosomal RNA", at positions 29 to 507 of the family's 1533-position model. The record is from RNAcentral.